UACGAAGGGGGCUAGCGUUGCUCGGAAUCACUGGGCGUAAAGCGCACGUAGGCGGUUUCUUAAGUCAGGGGUGAAAUCCUGGAGCUCAACUCCAGAACUGCCUUCGAUACUGGAAGACUCGAGUCCGGGAGAGGUGAGUGGAACUGCGAGUGUAGAGGUGAAAUUCGUAGAUAUUCGCAAGAACACCAGUGGCGAAGGCGGCUCACUGGCCCGGUACUGACGCUGAGGUGCGAAAGCGUGGGGAGCAAACAGG
RNAcentral lists this ribosomal RNA (253 nucleotides) under uncultured bacterium. RNAcentral describes it as "partial 16S ribosomal RNA". It matches the Rfam family "Bacterial small subunit ribosomal RNA", at positions 524 to 776 of the family's 1533-position model. The record is from RNAcentral.